GUGAGGAAUAUUGGACAAUGGGCGCAAGCCUGAUCCAGCCAUGCCGCGUGCAGGAAGACGCAUCUAUGGUGUGUAAACUGCUUUUGUACGGGAAGAAACACUCCCUCGUGAGGGAGCUUGACGGUACCGUAAGAAUAAGGAUCGGCUAACUCCGUGCCAGCAGCCGCGGUAAUACGGAGGAUCCAAGCGUUAUCCGGAAUCAUUUGGUUUAAAGGGUCCGUAGGCGGUUUAAUAAGUCAGUGGUGAAAGCCCAUCGCUCAACGAUGGAACGGCCAUUGAUACUGUUAGACUUGAAUUACAAGGAAGUAACUAGAAUAUGUAGUGUAGCGGUGAAAUGCUUAGAUAUUACAUGGAAUACCAAUUGCGAAGGCAGGUUACUACUUGUGGAUUGACGCUGAUGGACGAAAGCGUGGGGAGCGAACAGGAUUAGAAACCCGAGUAGUCC
RNAcentral lists this ribosomal RNA (445 nucleotides) under uncultured bacterium. RNAcentral's name for it is "partial 16S ribosomal RNA". It matches the Rfam family "Bacterial small subunit ribosomal RNA", at positions 354 to 796 of the family's 1533-position model. The record is from RNAcentral.